RNAcentral lists this ribosomal RNA (468 nucleotides) under Triticum aestivum (bread wheat). Its description in RNAcentral is "partial small subunit ribosomal RNA". The record is from RNAcentral. Lineage: Eukaryota; Viridiplantae; Streptophyta; Magnoliopsida; Poales; Poaceae.
AUGCAUAUAUUUUGGGCAGAUGGCAAUGGAAUAAGGAACUAUCAGCAGUAUGGCGAUCUUCUCAGUUUUGACACAACCUACAAGACCAACAAAUAUAAUCUGAAAUUUGCUCCAUUUGUGGGAGUAAAUGGGCAUGGAGACAACUGCCCUUUUGCAUGUGGUUUCAUUCAAGAUGAGAAGAAAGAAACAUUCGAGUGGCUCUUUAAGACAUUUCUAAAAUGCAUGGGAGGGAAAGCUCCUAAAUCUGUCAUAACGGAUCAAGACACAGCUAUGAAGAAAGCAGUACCUAAAUGCUUUCCAAAUUGCAAGCAUAGGAACUAUUUGUUCCACAUUCUCAAGAAAGCUCAAAACAAAGCUAGGAGGACAUUUGGAAAGAACCAACACUUGAAUGCUCAAUUUCAUGACAUAAUCCUAGACUCCCAGACAGUGCAAGAAUUUGAGGAAUUAUGGCCACAAAUUAUUCAAUAG